AUAUGUACCGUUUAAUUUCAGCCGUUAAGAUCCUAACUAGUUUUAAUCCUAUCCGUCCAAUAUAGAUAACCCUAAUACUAAUCGCUAACUCUGGUAACUCUCUCACUCUCAGUUUUCUUUCUUCUUCGUUUUUUUUCUCUCUGAAGCAGUGAAGCUAUGAAGAGCAGCCUCUUCAUCUCUGAGUAACUACGGCUACCCUCACCAAUCAAUCAGGAAAUCACCAAUUCACGAUCAUCAUCAAGUGAUUCAAGUCUUACUAGUUAGUAGCUAUCAAUCAAUCAGGUUAAGUGGUGACUGCCAAGGAUACCAAUUUUUUCUUCGUCUAUCAGAUUCAAUCUAAACCUUUUUGUUUCCAAGGUUGAGGUUGUCCUAUCCAAUCAAUGGCCUUAUUGGAGGGGAAAGUGCAGAUUUGUGGCCUAGGAUUGCAACUUGCAAGUGCAGGCUGUGCAGCCAUCCAUUAUUUCUUGUCGACUUGUCGUAGACAGACUUAUAUGGUAGUGGAAAUGUUGUUUUUACUUUUUGGCAAACUGAACUUAUGAACUUAUUUUGGAUUGUUGUUUUGAAGUUAUGCAAAAUGUUGAACUUAAAUAUGUAUGCAACCUGAACUUAUUUUGGAUUGUUGAACAUUGAACUUAUGGAAAUGUUGUAUUAUAUUUUGUAAUA
Papaver somniferum (opium poppy) is the source of this 663-nucleotide long non-coding RNA. RefSeq lists it as uncharacterized. Lineage: Eukaryota; Viridiplantae; Streptophyta; Magnoliopsida; Ranunculales; Papaveraceae. The record is from RefSeq and is a predicted model, not a curated record. The transcript is spliced from 3 exons.